AUGGAUGUAGAUACAGCAAUGCCAAAAGUGGUGUAGUAAUGUGCUGAAGAUUGAUUUGAUUUAAUCUUGAAUGAUGCUGAUGGCGAUGUGCCAAGCUACCCACAUAUCCAUAGUCAAAGAGCAAGCUGAAGGAGUCAUGCUUUUGCAUUGCCAGUUACGUAUAUUUUCAGCUCUGUGUGUGCAGAACAAGUGGCUGCUUACCCGCUAUCUGACAAGGAUACAUGUGGGUUAGUCACUGCACGGAGCUGUUUUUCACCCGAAGGGGCCUAUUUCUCUGUUUGGCCAUGAAUUUUUCAGUAAUGUUAAUGUUGCUGUUUGCAGGGCAUUAACACUGCUGUUAGUGGGGGCCACGCACAUGAGCUGACAAAUGCUCCUCAAGUCUGUCGUCUGAAUUCAGGCUGGAUGGAAGCUACACGAGGAGUUUCAAUGGUUUUGUACUCGGUGGUCAGGCACAGGACGAUGUGCAGUGUUUGCAUUGAUCCCUACACUCCCAGAGCACGUGCAAGAUGUUAGUGUCACAGCCACACUUGAUUCCAACACAAGUUAAACACAGUGCAACACUUUGGGCAUUUAUGGGGCUCCAGGAGGGUUCUCGCAGAGCCAGUGAUGCGAAGGCACAGCCACCACCACCUCCCAGCUCCCAGACCUGCCCCGCUGCCGCCUGCGCUCUGCUUCCCUGCUGCUGGAGGCACAGGGCGGAUAAAAACCUGUGGAUCCCUUCCAGGCUAUCAGUCUGUCACCUACGGGUGGAGUUCAGUUAUCCGUAUGUGAUGUGCUCCGAUUAAGAUCGGGGAAGAGUUUUGAAAGCACAGACUUGCUGUGCUCAAAGUGCCUACAGAAAACUCCUGAGGAGCUGUGGGUCUGUGACUCAGUAUCUGGGUUCAGAUUGCAUCCAGGCCAUGGGCUUUGAUUUUUGAUUUAUUUAUUUUCAGCUGGGGUAAGGCUCAAACACAGCUUCAGCCAUAUAGCACUUAAUGCUCCGCUCUUAUAAAAUUGCAAAAACUUCAUCCAAUUUAGCUAAAUUCAUUGCAUGGUUUCUCUUAAGGAACGCAAUUUGCCGGUUACAUAAGAUUUCUGUGCAUCUAAAAAAAAGCAAAUCCAAUUGUUCCUUCCUGGUCUGCUUCCAAUAUAGACUCGUCCAGCCGGCCCCGAGAGCAGGCUGAGCUCUGGCCCCAAACCCAGCAGUGAGGAGCUGAAGUGGGAGCACUCCAGGGAAACUUUGCUGUCUGAGAGGAGGGUGCUGUGGGCAGCUCACCAUGAAGCUGGUCUUACUGGGGCCCCCAAAGGAAAAAUGCUGUGCUUAGUUUUGGUACAAUGCCUCGUCUCGUUUGCAGAGUGCAGUUGCCUUUUGUAGUAUUAGGGAUAAUUACAAUAAUUUGUUAUUCAUCAAACAGUUGCAUAUCUUGAAAAAUGUACUUGGGGUACUUCAGCAAUGCCGUAUGAGGCAGAGCAAGCGAGGCAGGGAAGGUGUCACAAGCUCCCACGGGCAGAUUACAUGUUUUCUUGAAGAUAAGAUGUGUCCCGGACAGCUACACUAUGGUGAAUCAUGCAGAACAAAUCAGACUUUUUUUUGUUUUGUUUUAAAAAGUACUUUUUAAAACUGCCUGAUUAUGUAAUAAUGCUCAGUGAUUUUUAGGGCUUUGUCCUGCAAGUUAUUGAACAAUUCCAACUUGAGAAAUAUCAAAAGUCAAUUUAUAACCAGCUACCUGGAUUUGCUGUCAAUAAUUUUGAGUAAUAGUGCUUAAAUACUAUUUUCUUGACAAUUCUAAAAACCGAGGGGCUAUU
RNAcentral lists this long non-coding RNA (1785 nucleotides) under Anas platyrhynchos platyrhynchos (common mallard). RNAcentral's name for it is "lncRNA (ENSAPLG00000017953.1)". Lineage: Eukaryota; Metazoa; Chordata; Aves; Anseriformes; Anatidae. The record is from RNAcentral.